AUACAGAGGGUGCAAGCGCUGUUCGGAAUUAUUGGGCGUAAAGCGCAUGUAGGCGGUGACGUGUGUCGGGUGUGAAAGCCCUCGGCUCAACCGAGGAAGUGCGCUCGAAACUGCGUCGCUAGAGUGUCGGAGAGGGUGGCGGAAUUCCCGGUGUAGAGGUGAAAUUCGUAGAUAUCGGGAGGAACACCAGUGGCGAAGGCGGCCACCUGGACGAACACUGACGCUGAGAUGCGAAAGCGUGGGUAGCAAACAGGAUUAGAUACCCUGGUAGUCCACGCCGUAAACGAUGAGAACUAGGUGUGGCGGGAGUUGACCCCUGCCGUGCCGAAGCUAACGCAUUAAGUGCUCCGCCUGGGAAGUACGGCCGCAAGGCUAAA
Molecule: ribosomal RNA, 377 nt
Filed under: uncultured bacterium
Lineage: Bacteria
Description: bacterial SSU rRNA
Rfam family: Bacterial small subunit ribosomal RNA
Source: RNAcentral